Dryobates pubescens (Downy woodpecker) is the source of this 4313-nucleotide RNA transcript. It is a transcript of the gene named ELKS/RAB6-interacting/CAST family member 2, with no coding region annotated. The transcript is spliced from 22 exons. The record is from RefSeq and is a predicted model, not a curated record. NCBI's taxonomy places the organism in Eukaryota, Metazoa, Chordata, Aves, Piciformes, Picidae.
UAGCUCCUCGGGAAUGCUGGGAAUGUUGAGUCAGGGACUGGCAACCUAGACAGCAAGGCUCGCAGCUGACUGAGGGAGACUCGCUGAGGGACAGAAAGACGAGGGACAGGAGCACACAAGCCUCCCCCGACUGCAGCAGGUUCCCUGUUUUCCUCCCCUCAUAGGGGUUCGUCGCUCCAGCUCUCCCUGCUGCCGCCUUCCUCCGUGCAAAUGAGAUGUCAGCUAAACGUGAUAUUGUAAAAUCCAUGUGAGGACGAAAGGCAGAUGCAAUGAUUUGAAAGGUCUCUGACUUCAAAGGAACAAUAGAUUUUUUUUUUGCCUACUGGAAGAAUGCAGUGAAACUGCCAAUAUUUCUAGCCGGAAAUAUAAAUUUAAUAUUCAACUUUAGUGUUACUAAUUUCUUACUAAACAGUACCUCAAAGUAGAAGAAAAAUGUAUGGAAGUGCAAGAACAAUCAGCAACUUAGAAGGAAGUCCUGCCAGGUCUCCUCGUUUGCCAAGAUCUCCUCGCCUGGGUCACAGGCGAACAAGUAGUGGAGGAGGAGGAACUGGUAAGACACUAUCAAUGGAGAACAUCCAGUCCCUUAAUGCAGCCUAUGCAACUUCUGGACCAAUGUAUCUGAGUGACCAUGAAGGUGUAGCUUCUACUACUUUCCCAAAGGGCACAAUGACUCUUGGAAGGGCUACAAAUCGAGCUAUGUAUGGUGGUCGAGUCACAGCUAUGGGGAGCAGUCCUAAUAUUGCUUCAGCCGGACUUUCGCACACAGAUGUCCUUUCUUAUAGUGAUCAGCAUGGAGGUCUGACCACAUCUUCACAUCAUCACCACCAUCAAGUUCCUUCUAUGCUGAGACAGGUUAGAGAUAGUACCAUGUUAGACCUGCAAGCUCAACUUAAGGAACUACAGAGGGAGAAUGAUCUUCUCAGAAAAGAACUCGACAUUAAGGACAGCAAGCUAGGAUCGUCCAUGAAUAGCAUCAAAACCUUCUGGAGCCCUGAGCUAAAGAAAGAAAGAGUAUUGAGGAAAGAAGAGGCAGCCAGAAUGUCAGUUCUUAAAGAACAAAUGAGAGUUUCUCAUGAAGAAAAUCAGUUUUUGGAUGCCAGGAGAACAAAGCAUCUGCAAAUGACAAUCCAGGCACUUCAAGAUGAGCUUAGAACCCAGAGAGACCUUAACCAUCUUCUUCAGCAAGAAAGCGGAAACCGAGGAGCUGAGCAUUUUACCAUUGAGCUCACGGAGGAGAAUUUUCGAAGACUUCAAGCAGAACAUGAUAGACAAGCUAAAGAGCUCUUCCUGUUGAGAAAAACACUAGAAGAAAUGGAGCUUAGGAUUGAAACACAAAAGCAAACACUAAAUGCCAGGGAUGAAUCAAUAAAAAAGCUUCUGGAAAUGUUGCAAAGUAAAGGUUUGCCAUCCAAAGGAAUGGAAGAUGACAAUGAGAGAACUCGAAGGAUGGCAGAGGCUGAAUCUCAGGUUAAUCAUUUAGAAGUGAUUUUAGAUCAGAAGGAGAAGGAAAACAUGCAUCUUAGAGAGGAAUUACAUAGAAGAACCCAGCUUCAGCCUGAGCCAGCAAAGACAAAGGCUCUUCAAACAGUUAUUGAAAUGAAGGAUACAAAAAUAGCUUCGCUUGAGCGCAAUAUAAGAGAUCUUGAAGAUGAAAUACAGAUGCUAAAGACAAAUGGAGUUCUGAAUACAGAGGACCGAGAAGAGGAAAUCAAACAAAUAGAAGUUUACAAGAGUCACUCAAAGUUCAUGAAAAAUAAGAUUGACCAACUGAAACAAGAACUCUCAAAGAAAGAAUCAGAACUUCUUGCCUUACAAACUAAGCUUGAAACCCUUAGCAAUCAAAAUUCAGAUUGCAAGCAACACAUAGAAGUGCUUAAAGAGUCUCUUACUGCCAAAGAACAGAGAGCUGCCAUACUUCAGACAGAGGUCGAUGCCUUGCGGUUGCGACUGGAAGAGAAAGAAACCUUUCUAAACAAAAAAACAAAACAACUUCAAGACCUCACAGAAGAGAAAGGAACCCUCGCUGGAGAGAUUCGAGAUAUGAAAGACAUGUUGGAAGUAAAAGAAAGAAAAAUAAAUGUCCUUCAGAAAAAGAUUGAAAAUCUACAGGAGCAACUUAGGGACAAAGACAAACAACUAACUAAUCUAAAAGACAGAGUGAAGUCUUUGCAGACGGAUUCUAGUAACACAGACACAGCACUAGCAACCUUAGAAGAAGCUCUAUCAGAAAAGGAAAGAAUAAUAGAACGCUUGAAGGAGCAAAGGGAGCGAGAUGACAGAGAAAGACUUGAAGAAAUUGAAUCUUAUAAAAAAGAAAACAAAGACCUGAAGGAGAAAGUUAAUGCUUUGCAAGCUGAACUGACAGAAAAAGAGUCUAGUUUAAUCGAUCUCAAAGAACAUGCAUCUUCAUUGGCAUCAGCAGGGCUGAAAAGAGACUCCAAACUUAAGUCUUUAGAAAUAGCCAUAGAACAAAAGAAGGAAGAGUGUAGUAAGUUGGAAGCACAGUUGAAAAAGCAAGCUGAACAGUUGUUCAAUCAGAUGUACAAUCCAAUGCCAAUUAAGAAUAAUGGGAAGCAAGGGGCUCAUGAGGCUGAAGAAGAGGCACGGAUGAAUCCAGAAUUUGCAGACAGAAUGAAACAGCUUGACAAGGAGGCGUCAUACUAUAGAGAAGAAUGUGGCAAAGCUCAGGCCGAGGUUGACAGACUUCUAGAAAUACUCAAGGAAGUAGAGAAUGAGAAGAAUGACAAAGAUAAGAAAAUCGCUGAGUUAGAAAGCUUGACUUCCAGACAUAUGAAGGACCAAAACAAGAAGGUUGCUAAUCUGAAACACAAUCAGCAAAUGGAGAAAAAGAAGAAUGCACAGUUGUUGGAGGAAGUUCGGAGACGAGAGGACAAUAUGACUGACAACUCUCAACAUUUACAAGUAGAAGAGUUGAUGAAUGCUCUGGAAAAGACUAGACAAGAAUUAGAUUCUACCAAAGCCCGUCUUGCCUCAACACAGCAGUCUUUGGCUGAAAAAGAAGCACAUCUGGCUAACCUGAGAAUAGAGCGAAGAAAACAGCUUGAAGAAAUUCUAGAAAUGAAGCAGGAAGCUUUGCUCGCUGCAAUUAGUGAAAAAGAUGCAAACAUUGCCUUGCUUGAACUGUCUGCUUCAAAGAAAAAGAAGACUCAGGAGGAAGUAAUGGCACUUAAACGAGAGAAGGACAGAUUAGUACAUCAGCUAAAACAGCAGACACAAAAUAGAAUGAAACUGAUGGCAGAUAACUAUGAUGAUGACCAUCAUCACUACCACCACCAUCACCACCACCACCAUCACCGAUCUCCUGGGAGGCCACAACACACCAACCACAGACCCUCUCCAGAUCAGGAUGAUGAGGAGGGUAUAUGGGCAUAGCCAUUCCUAUAAACCAAAGUUCCAGUUUUGUUUUGAGGGAUGAUCCAGUCACUGUUGGAGGCACAUAGCCACGGCAAAAUCUCAUGCUGUACAUUGAUCACCUGUCCAACCUUUGCCUAGAGUGUGAUCCCCAGUUCCUUCAAGAGAUCCAUCUUUACCUGUCUAUAAAGAAGAAGAGGAGGAGGGAGACAUCUGGGAUAUUCAAGUAUCAAAGUUGAACACCAGAGCAGUUGUCAGAGGAACUAGCGAAAGAGGAAGAAAAAAAAUGUAGUACUGGAAUAUAAUGAUGAUAAUCUAUUGCAUUGGAUCUCCAAACAUGAUCAUGACAUCCUGGAGAAGAUCACAGAUGCAGAAAAUGAACACUACAGUUGAUAGCUACUGAAAUGCUGCAUUAAUUGGCAUUUGCUCCAUUUUUUUUUCUUGUAGUCUACUAUGAAAUUAGAUACUUUGGAAAAUAUUGAAGGAGACUCAAGCAGAAAUUAUAACAACUUCAUUUCUGUCUUUAAUGGGUCUUGCAAGUUAGUCUGUUUUCACAAAGACACCAUCUAUCCAGAAUAUUGCAGUUUAACAAAGUUCAGUUAAACAGGUUAUUUAAGUUUUGGUAUAUCAAUAUUGAUUUCAGUAAGUAAUUCAGAUUCUUUUAGAUGUGGUAUCUGCACUUGCCAAUUUUACCUAGUCGAUUCUAAAGGAUCACUUCUAUUGCACUAGAUUAUCAAAGAGGUAUUAGUAAAAUGCUAUAUAAGGGCGUUGGCGUUAAUCUUGCCCCCAAGUAGAUAUGGGCUUUUCCAAAAACCUAGAAACCAAGCCUUUACCCUCCUCUCUUUUCUUAUAUCUACUGAUAGAAUACUACUACUUAAAAAAAAAAACAACAAACCAAAACAAAAUCAAACACAAACCACAAACCAAACCCCAAAAAACAU